CUUGGCAGCGUGAAGGUUGCUCGCAGCGUGUGCCCGUAGUUCGCGUUCCGCUUCAGACACACUGAUAUGUUUCCAGCAGCUCCAGUCUGGUUGUGGGCUUGACUAAACUGUCAAAUAAGACGGGAGUCCUGACCGUGGUUUUCCUGGUCGUCCUGAUUUCAUUUCUUGUCCGUUUUUGAAUGGUAACCUUCGUUGCGAACGCUAGAAUCAGUUUGGAACGUAAAGGUCGCCAGUAGUUCUGUGCUCGAACAACGAAGUUUGCAAGUUUCGCGGCCAACAAGGACGCAACCGAGUGUUUUGAAAUGUGAAGGAAAUUUUGUGCCGUUUGCAUGGUUGUCCUGAUUUGCAGUGGAAAUCGCGACGUGGUAAAUCCUUGGAGAGUGUACAGAGUGUUUUGGGUGUUUUUUUCAGUCGUAGCUAGUGUCCGGGAAGCAGGAAAUUAGGCACGGUUACUCGUCCUUGCGGUAGAGAGCCUCCUGUUUCGUGUGCUGCAAGUGUCAACGUCCUUAGCGUAGCGGAGCAGUGAGUUGUAGGGUCAGCAGGUCGCUACCCGAGUAGCGUGCAUGCCGCGUUUGAACUUUACUAAUUUUGGUGUAGUUGGACCUUCCGAACGGUCAGAAAACAGGACUUUUGGUUAAGCCAGCGAACGGACCAGGCGAAGUGUUUUUAACCUGAGGAAUCCGCACAAAAAUGGGAUAAUGGCGGAUUUCAUGACAUCGAGAACUUGGGAUUUGAAGACUCCAUUGAAGCUUGAUCACUAUCAUCAGCACUACAGAGCGCCUUCCGCCCCGGAUGGGACGCUAGUUUCCAGAAUGGGGGAGUCGUCAUCGUCAGAACAAAAAUCAAAGAUGAAUUUGUGCAGCACUUCAACUGCAGCAGCAACAAAAAGAACUCCAAUCGAACGAUCGACAUCAUCGUCAACAGUGGAAGCAUUGUGCCGCCAAAGUGAUAAUUAUUGUGGCCAGAAUUACGAAAAAAGUGCGGCAAAAGCCACAUUCUCGCUGAUCAUGUCGGCACUGCGCGGUCACUUUUUGAAUUCUUCAGAUUCGAACAUGAUCGAUAGUAAUUGUUGUCAAACAACCAGUCAUGUUGGCAUGACUCUAAACCUACCUACCAUCGCCGCAUCCAAAUCAUCGAGAUUGAUACUAUCAUCAAAGACAAAAGCAAGAUCGCCAGUAGUCCCAUUGCAAAAGGUCAGAUACACAUCAGACGCAACAGGCACACGACGGGAGUCUGCGGCUCCUGAAGCAACAACGACAAUUACGGCAAACACUGAAUUAACAGGAGAGGAAAACGAUAAAAAUGCUAGUGAUCAUCAUCCUAAUAACGUAGUAGAGUGUAGAAUACCAUUAGUUAAUGCAAAUAAUGAAUAUAGUAGAUUGGCGACAGAAGCGGCAGCGUCACGACUAAAAGUCACGGACAUGGUUGCGUCUUCGUCGUCAUUAUCACUUCCUCCUAGAAAAACAAGGUGCAAUGAUACAAAUCGAAGGGAGAAUAGAAGCGUGAUUGCAAUGGGCGGCAAAAGUGUGUGGUGGCAGUUAGUUGUAGCAGUGUACUCCCUACUAUUGUAUAUAUCAGCGACAUCAGUUUGUUGGGCAGCAAGACAAGAAGUUGCUUCAAAUUGUACAUUUCCUUCACGAUGGGAGGGAACAUGGUUUCUAUCCGGAUAUCAACAAUCAGUACAUAUUAGAGGUUCACAAUUUAGUUAUCGAGGUAAAUGCGCGGCAUCGGAUGGUAAUAAAUAUUUAAUAGUAAAUGAUGAAUGUCAUCGAUGUCUGGUCAUCUAUGAGAAGCAUAAAAAUGUUCUGCAAUUUAAAGAAAGUGAGUGCGAAGGUGACAAUAUGUACGGUGAUCAAUCGAAUCCGGCUGCAAUGGCUAUGCGUAGCGUAGUCAAAAGCGAUCAUAGGGGGGGAGCUCAUCCCAACUCGAACGGGCAUCAAAGAUUAUCGUCAUCGGAUCAAUAUAUAAUGCGAUCCAAUGACGAUGGUAAUGAUUGUAGCUUUUGUAAGAGACGUGAAACGUUACAAAAUUUAUGUGAUCAAAUCCCCGGCGAUGCAUUGUUGUACAGUUUGUUUCGGGAGAAUGCAGAACCAGUAAAAUGUCCACUUAAUGGACCCUUUUCAUUUACAUAUAAUAGAGGACAUGGCGAAUGUAAAUCACCGGUAUCAAACAUUGAAAGUUGUACGGAGGAUAGUCGUUUGUUGUUGAGUUUUCAAGCGUGUCCGGAUGUUCAAGGAACCGAGAGUACAGUUGAAGAGCUAACCUGCUUGGCAACGUGGAAGGAUGGAAACUCCAGAUAUCUGAUCGGUUUAGUAUCUCAGCAUCACACACAUCAUUUACAAGCCCCACAUCAUGCACUAUCGAAUGAGGAGCGCUACAGAUGCUUCGUUUACGAAAAGAUAUCAACGCUGAUGGGUAUAUUUCCAGGUCCGAUGAGUAAUUUAAACGUAAAAGAUGCUGAGUACAAAUUGGCUCAGUCCGGAGAUGCCACAUGUAAUGGUCUGGAUAGUGCGGAGGUUGGAUCACGUAUCAUGACACUGCGAAAACCUCCGCCAGCAGAACGUUGCGACUUCCCGGCGUGGUUCAAAGCACCUCGACAUUGGCGCGCUCUAAUGGGUAACAUUGUGUAUACAUUUCAUCAAAGUGACGGAUCGAUACAUAUUAAAAGCAAUGGACUAUUGGAGACCUGGGCGUUGUGCGAGCAAAUUAAUAAGCAGACCCAGACCGAAAUGAUGGCCGUGGUGCAUUAUACGAGUCAAUGCGAAUCGGGAUUCAUGUGUAUGACAUUCUACAAACGUGAUAUGCAAGUUGCUGAAAUCCAAAUGGGCACGCCAGCGUCUAGACUGGAAGAUGCUUGCGCCCCGGACCAUUUCGAUAUAAAUAAGCUGCCAUUUGUCACACUUCUGGCGAGCAGUCCCGAAUCGCAAAUAUGUCCUUUGGAAGGCUUAUUCAGUCUCCGUGGGGCAAUUGGACCACCGUAUAUAACAUCCAGGCACAAACGUAACCAUAAUAACAAAGGACACAAUCAGCAUGGCCAUCAUCAUCAUGAGCAGGGACAUAAAAGGCACGGAAUUCAAAGCUUCCGAAAUUCUGAGGAGUUUGGUCAAACAUCCUGGCAAUCUCAUACUCGAGGUCUUUCAAUUAGAAGUCGACGUGCUGCCACUAACCCCACCAUAUCGAGCCAGACCCGCUCCGUAGUAAUCUCCGGAUACGAUUUAAUAGACUCCUCGAGUGUUGCUGACUCUGUUCCAUAUAAAUCGAAAGUCCUUGUUCCGAAUCAUAGAAGCAAUCGCAUUUCUAUGGAAGGAAGUGAAACCUUUCACAAAGGCACUGGCAAUAAUGACGAUGAUGGCGCAGAUGAAGAGAAUAUCCUCGAUAUAACAAACGAAAAAACAAUUGAGAUGCCGCCAAAUGUGGAUGGAGGACUCAGUGCAUCAUCGCAGCAACGCAACCGUCGGGACGUUCCAGCAUGUAUAGUAAAUUAUAAAGCACAACGGCAGCUCCUGGUCGGUUGUACGGAUCCAAAUUUGAUUGAAGUCCGACCUAGAUGCAGUGAGGAUGGCGAGGAAUCGUAUCUUUGUCAUGGCUCAUGGACCGAAAACAGCACAGUGUACAUAGUAGCGAAGAAUCAAGCCACCCAACAUGGAGUUUGCAUUAGUUAUAAGCAAUUAGAUGGGAAUGAUGGUCUGCUGGUCGUGGGAGAUUCAUGUUAUCGAGGACUACAAAAACCGCCUGAUCAUCAUUUCGUAGCUAAUCUAACAUUAGCCGGUAAAUGUGGUGAUACCAAUUCCGCACAUUCAAUCCGCCGCUACCAUUCGAAACAAAAUUGGAUUCUAUUAGCGAUUUCAACAACAACUACACUAAUGGGAAUCACAGUUUCAUCUGCGAUGCUGGUCAACUUUUCAGCUAGAUGACUCUGAUAAUUUCGCAUUAGCUUGCUGCCUACCACCAACAUCCAUACGAGAUUGUAUCUGUAAAUUUGAAAUGAACUAAUCUACAAAUAAGGAAUAAUUUAGGCUUCAAACAAAUAUUAUACUCAAUUGAUGAAACUAACGUAAACAUCUCGAAACAGUGGAAGAACUGCAUUAUAUUGAUGCACAUAAAGCUCGGAGAUAAACGUGUAAAAAUGAUAACUACUGUAUUCUGUAUAUUCAAAAAAAAAGGAUACCGAUAGGAAAAUAUUACUUAGCGAAGGGAAGACUAUAGUGGAACAGAUUUUUUUAUAUAUACGAUAAGACAUUUAAAUGAUUGUACAUGGGAAGGGUGUGAAACAAACGGGAAGAAAGUGAAAACUGGAUAUUGUGUAGGAACAGAUGACGAAGAAUGAACAGAGCAAACUAUUAUUCUAAGCAUAUGAACUAGAAAAUGUACUGUUCAGCUAAAGAUUAAAUUUAAAAUUAGAUAUUAAAGAAUGGAGAUGUUUUAUAUAUACAUAUAUAUAUAUAUAUAUAUUUAAAGUAUACAAUAACAAGUCGCUACAAAUGACUGAAAGACUAGACAAACUUGAUAUGAUCUAAAUAGUCCAUUUGCAUUGUAUUACCGCAUGGACAAACAGAAAAAUCUAAAUAGCAUCACGCGUUUGUGGGAGAUUUAGUAGCUCAGCAAAGGUCGCUUCACAAUACGAUUUAUUGGGCACUGUGAUCGUCGUGAAUCCAAUCAAAACACUGGCCCUGUUAAUUUAAGUGGGAAUAAUUUGAUUGAGAAAAACAAAAAAAAAAUUGCAUGUGGUGUAAAUCCCGGUGAGAUGCCGCAUCUUUUCGAAAAUCGAUACUAAUUGAAAAUACGCUGUUCCCUUCCACUUUUUCAAAAGAUUCUUAUUUCUGCUCAAACUAAUCAUGAUUUAUUCUUUACGAACAGAGAGAUUGAUCUUCAUUUUCAUCAGCCUUUGUCCCGUUCAGAAGCGGGGUCGGCUCCCCUUAAUCGGUUGCGCCAUUUUGCUCGGUUAUAUGCCUGAUCUGGAUAGAGUCUAGAAGGCACACCAUCGCCAUUUAAUGUAUCAAGCUAUCUUUGUUUUGGCGGGCCUUUUGUCGUUUUCCAUCGACUUCAAUGUUCAGACCAAUAUUAGCAAGUGAGUUUUCAUCAGUGCAAAUCCAUUGGUCCAAAGCAACACUUUCGUCUGCAUUACCGCAAGGCGCCGUUCAUUGUCUUUUAUAGUCGGUCAACAUUCAGAACCAUAGAGGGCAACAAGGCUUAUCAUCACAGAAAUUGAUGUGUACAUAAAAUAGAAAAAUCUUCGAAAAAGCACAAAACAUUUUCAGGUCAUUGUUUGUCGAUUUCUGUAUUUCGAAAUUUGCCGAGGUCCUUCGAACGACAACGAAGCGAAUCCUUUCUUUCAUUUUUCCACUAAAUCGAUAGUUUUAAUUGGCACAUUUUUUCCUUCUUCUUCCAACUAGUUUAUUUAAACAGAAAAUGUUUUCUUUUUCUCAGUUUCUGUUUUCCGUUUCGAUUUUCCUCGAAUGCUGCCAAUACUUAUUACCGAUGGCAAAAGGUGUGUAAAUUGUGAAUUUUUUGGCGUUGUACGUUGAAAUUUACUUUUGGAAUACUCCACUGUCGCUACUUUGAUCAGGGCGUCACAAACUGGAGCUCCUGCUUGCAAUCUGGUCAGUUUGCGACGUAGGCGGCCUCUAACACCAUGUGAUGUGUGCAGCGAAUGGCAAGAUAAGACCACGCCAUUAUUUUCAGUGUCAAUAAGCCAAUAUAUGGCUUAUUACACGCCUAUGCUUUGUUGCCAAGUACACACGACUUUUCGUGUGUAGGUUUGAAGUUGAUAACAUUUGCCGUAAAGUUCCUAUGCACCGUGAAUGCCACUCCAAACUCGCAUUUCCCUGAUACCUGUCCACUUUUGAAGAUUAUGGGCGACCUCAUACCAGUCAUUUCGCAACCAUUCCAAUCUAUUCCUGGACUGCUAGAACCCUAAAUUUGUACUUGCUGGCCUGUCGAAAUGGGUCCUCGGCAACAUCAGAUUUGUUUAGUGACCCAACAUUCCGGGAUCCAAGAGCGUUCCUUUACGUGGUCGUUUCCAUGGUAUCGACCCUCUUCGAGGCUAUUCAUCCAGUCUCUGCACAUAUUUGUUGUGGAAUGGCGUUUAUUUGACAGUUGAAUGUAUAUUAAAUACAGUUGUAGUAAACUUAAUUGUUAAUUCACACUAUGUAUUACAUUUAAUGGUUAGUUCACACUGUUACAUUUCUCCUUCCUUCAGUAAUUUUACAUCUCUUCGACUAGUCUCUUGGGUCGAUUUCUUAGCCGUUGGCUUCGCCGUACUGGAUGUUCAAUUUGUUGUGCUUCGGUGUGUUGUCCUUGUUCACUCAUGUUUCCGUUUUCAUGCGACGGUAUAGCGGGCUGCAUAGACUGCUGAUGUUCCUGUUCAUCAUCUGCUGUCGGACUUGCAGAUUGGUGAUGGAAACUGUUUCGCCUAAAAUCUGAGACAUCCCGGAAGUCGAUUGAUUGUGAUUGAUGGUGGUAUUACCCUCCGUUCUCGGAUAUGAUCUGCAUGUCGUCUUCUUUCUACACCGUCCUUUGUAGGAAUAUUGUUCUUUCGACUAUGUUGGCUGGUUCCCACAUUUUCUCGAUGUCUGUCUUUACGAAUACUGGUUGUGCUGGUUGGAACUUUCUGUUAGACUGCUCUGCUUGAAGAUUUUGUUUUACAUGUUUAAAAUGCAUCUCUCGCCGUACAUUAGGCUUCAGAUUGUCAAAUAAAGUUCGCAGGCGUCGACCUCGCAAAAAUUCAGAUGGUGCCUUCCCUGUAAAGGAGUGUGGUGUGUUUCGAUAUGUAAAUAGAAAUGUGCGCAAGCGCUGACGUUGUGAUAAACCAUCAUAUUCACUGGCUUUCAUGCGCUCCUUAAAUGUUCGUACGAAUCGUUCGGCUAGUCCGUUGGUUUUCGGAUGGUACGGUGAAGACGUUACAUGUUUUAUUCCAUGACUUUGACAAUAAUUUCGAAACUCUUCUGACGUAAAUUGACUACCAUUAUCCGACACGAUAAUUUCCGGAUAACCAAAUGUUAUAAACUUCUCCUCUAGGAAUUCGCACAAAGUUCUUGUGGUGGCAGCAUAAAGUACAUCUGCUUCUACCCACUUUGAUAAAGCAUCAACAAGCACAAUCCACAUUUUUCCUUCGAAGGGACCUGCAAAGUCCACAUGCAGUCGUUGCCAACAAUGCUCUGGCAGGGACCAAAAGUAGAUUGGCAGUUCAGAUUGUUUUGGGCGUUGACGUUGACAUGCCAUGCAUGAUUUCACUGUAUAUUCCACGCCCUUGUCGAUGUUCGGCCACCAUACAUAGUACCUCGCUGGCGCACGCAUAGAGCCAAUGCCUGGAUGCCCUCUAUGAAGAUGCCUCAAUGUUACUUCUUGAAGAUUAUCGGGCACGAUAAUUCGUCCUUGCCACAUCAAAAUACCGUUUUCGUAUGAUAGUUCCUCCCGUUUAUCGUAGUAUGGUUUCAGCUCGUUGUUGACACACUUCGUGUCUGGCCAGUGACGCUCAAUUAACUCAAUUACUCGUCGUAAUAUUAGGUUAUGUUUCGUCUGCUUCCUAAGUUCCUGUUCUGUUAGUACAAUAUCAUCAAGCUUCCGUAUUUGAAUUACUGCAUAAAUUUUAUGAAUCUUCUGCGCUUCCUCCGAAAUUGCUUCAUGUGCGUUUGGUAAGCGUGAUAAGCAAUCAGCUAGAAUAUUGUAUUUGCCUUGACGAUACUGUAUAUCGUAAUUGUAUGCACCUAACAUUAGUGUCCAUCUCGUCAGACGGUUGUUUACGAUUUUUUGCAAAUUUCGUUUGUCUCCCAACAGGUGUUGAAGCGGCUUGUGAUCCGUAAUUAAUGUAAACUUUGUCCCACGUAAAUAUGGAUCAAAUUUCUUCACGGCGAAAAAUAUUGCUAAUGCCUCCUUGUCAAUGGUAGCGUAUUUUUGUUCUGCUUCGAUCAAUUUUCGUGACGCGUAGGCGAUAGGUAACUCGUUGUUAGCCUCGUCCUGAUGAUAUAAAACAGCACCAAGGCCUACAUCGGAUGCGUCUGUUGCCAAAUAAAGCGGUUUUGUGAGAUCGUAAGGAGUUAGAUGACGGGCGCUAGCUAUCAUAUGUUUAACAUUAUCAAGUUGUUUCUGUUCCGUUAUUGACCAUCGCCAUUGCGACUUUGUACCAGUUAAUGCGUGUAGUUCGGAACAUGCUCCAUGUAAGUUGGGUAUGAAUUUCUCGUAAAAAUUGACCAAUCCCAGAAAGGAUCGUAACUCCUUCUUGUUAGUGGGUAUUGCAGCAUUUUUUAUUGCUAUCAGCUUGUCUUCCACUGGAUAGAUCCCUUUUCGGUUGAAUUGAUGGCCCAAAUAGUCGAUACUGUCUUGAAAAAAGCUACAUUUGUUCUUUUCGAUACGAAAACCAGCUUCACGCAGACGUUUAAAAACUUCUCUUAAUGAUCUUAGAUGGCUAUCUUCAUCUGGACCUGUAAUGCCUAUGUCGUCGAAAUAGAUUGCAACGUUGGGUAUGCCAGCAAGUAGAUUUUCUAUAUAAUUUUGAAAUGUUCCGGGUGCACUCGAUAUACCAGGAGUCAUACGGUUAUACUGAAAAUACCCUUUGUGUGUGGAUAUCAUUAGGUAUUUUCUUGACUCUGGACUAAUCUCGAAUUGUAGAUAGGCAUCGCGUAGAUCUAAUUUCGUGUACUUCUCACCCUUGGCAAGCUGCUGACGGAUGUUUUCGAAUGUUGGUACUGGAUGUCGUAUUGUUACUAGUGCUGGAUUCAGUGUAACACGAAAAUCACCACAAAUACGUAUAUUUCCGUUCCGUUUAACCACGUUGACAGUGGGUGUUGCCCAUUCGAUUGGUGUUUCGUUGGGGUCAACAGAUGAGAUUAUUCCUGCUGUAACCUUUCAAGUUCGAAUUCCACGCUUUUUUGAAUUCCGAAUCGGACUGGCCUGGCUGGAAUAUGUAUUGGUGUUGCUGUUUCCUUUAUGUGAAUUUUAACUUGGUAGUUAUUUAUUUUUCCCAGUCCUUCUUCGAAUAGCUGCUUGUUCUCUUCCAAUAUGUCAUUUAAGUUCUGAUGCAGUGGUUUCGUUGUCGGCUGCACGUGGUUGUUGACACGAUCUACGUUGUACACUGGUUCGGGCAGUGGCAAAUUGAAGGCUUCAUUCCACUCUAAGCCAAAUAACAUUGGAUUCGCGUUGUCCACCACGACUACUUUCAAAGAUCGCGUUCGCUUGUUCAGCGUCACUGUCACUGUAGCUUCCCCUUGGCAAGGUAAAUCGAAAUUGCCAUAAGCCCGUAGUUUUGGCUUCCCUUUAAGCGUUGGUGAUCCGAUCUGUUUCCAAAAAUCUUUACUUAUAAUGGAAACUGACGCGCCCGGAUCCCAGUCCAUCGUACACGUGACACCGUUUAUCUUAACGUCAAUGUUUCUUUUCUUAGCAAUGGCACUCAUUACUUUAAAAACUUGCUCACAACUCGAAAUAGAUGUAUCACUAUUUUUUACGUUGUAAAUACGCUGUUGUUUCUUUUUGUCUCUCACGAUCAAUUUAGCUCUGCCUUUUCUUAUACAGCACGACCCGUAAUGUCCAGGUUUGCCACACGCUUCACAAUUGUGAUUCGCCGCCUUGCAGUUGUCUUUUGAAUGUCUUUCACGCGCACCACAUCUUAAACAUUGUUCUUCCGACAAAAUUCGGAUCCGCUUACCGAUUUUCGCACGACGCUUUACUAUUUUUUUCACUUCCGCGCAUUCACUUUCUACAAUGUCUUUUUCCGCCAACUCUCUUGAUAGCGCUAUUUUGAAAACUUCCGCGAACGACACUUCGUUUUCUAUGCCUUCAAUAUCAUCGAAUGUUUUUAGCUCUGGCCACCUUUGUUUCAAUUCCACUUCAAGUCGGGGAUGGUUGAGACCCGUUGCAAACCGAUCACGUAAUUGACGUUCUAGCAUGUCGCCGUCGUAGCCACAAUCGCGACUUAUGUCUUUUAGCCUGUUCGCGUAAGAUUCGAAUGACUCAUCUUUUUUCCUCACACAAUUCCAAAAGUUCGUUAGAGCUUUGAAGCGCGUGGUUUUUCGUUCAAAAAGCUUCACGAAUUUUUCCGCGAUUUCCGUGUAAGUCAGGUUUUCAAAUUUUUUCUUUGCGUCCGCAAAUGCAAUUUUUAGUUCACGAUAGGUUUCCGGCUUUAGAUAUAAUACGAAUAAUUCUCUUUUCGAACUUAUAUCAUCCGCGAUUCCCCACAUGUGGCACUGGGCUUCAAAAUAAUCUACGAAAACACUAGCCGUUGUAACGCCAUCAUAUUUCUCACAUUUAAAGUUUUUUAGGAUGUUUUGUUUUUUUACCUCUGUAGAGAUGUUUUCUCUACCAACCGUCACGGUAGCGAAAUUUUCAAGAAUUUUUAGGAUGGCGGUUUGUUGCUCCGCCUGCACACGUAAAAAUUCGGCAAACUGUGUGGCGUCCAUAUUUAACUCGCGCUCGGAAAAACGAAAAACACGACCGUCCUCGUCGCCAGUAUGUUGUGGAAUGGCGUUUAUUUGACAGUUGAAUGUAUAUUAAAUACAGUUGUAGUAAACUUAAUUGUUAAUUCACACUAUGUAUUACAUUUAAUGGUUAGUUUACACUGUUACAAUAUUGUUUGGUUUUUUUUUGCAGAAUGACGAGUUGAAGUUCAUUUCUUUGAACCCCCAGCCUGGAGGACCAGGUUAAUUGUUUUAGACCCCCUUGAAGGAGGGGCGUGGAGUUAUCCCCGCUAAGCUGACCGCCCACUUCUACCUUUUUUCUUACUUUGCCCUAUCGCGGGUUUUACAGAGAAUAGUAUUGAAUGUAGAACUUAAAUCGGUCCGUUGGUUUUUUGCUUGAAGUCAGUACUUUCUCCCAUUUUUCUUGCAAUAUAUAGAUUCCGUCGAGCAAAAAGUUUUCAUCUUUUGAAGUCAAGAAUGAAUCGAGCCAAUUUUCGACACUCUGUUCUGAAGUGAAGCGUAUUCCAGUCAUAGCGUUUUGCAUAGAUCGAAACAAAUGGUAGUCGGAGGGAGCGAUGUCUGGACUAUAGGUCGGGUGAGCCAGCAUUUUCCGACAGUUCCUUCCAAAUAGUUUUAACUUGAGCAGCAAUGAUCAAAUAUUAUGGACUCGUAUCUGGACGCAUUAUUUUCGGCUAUAGCUUUCUUUCAAUAAUUCUAUUUUUGCCUGUGGAAGUCCUUGUGAUAGUCUGUCGAGGCUUUAGAAAUUCGUGGUAGAUCACACCCUUUGGAUCCCACCAAAUAUAGAGAAUUAACUUAACACCAUGAAUAUUCGGCUUUGGCGUUGAUGUUCACGUUUGUCCCGGCUUUACAUAUGACAUUUGGCCUUUGAAAUUGUCGUACUAAAUUCGUUUUUCGUCCCUGGUUUUGACUCGAAAGAGAAACGACUUUCUUUUCUACCUGGAUAUGCAAAAUUGUUGUUCGAUAUCGCUCGGUUUUACUCCGUCUGGGAUCCAGUUUCCCUGCUUUUAGAUGUUUCCCGCAGCUUUUGAGUCGUUUCGAAAUAAAGGGGCAUAUCAAAUAUAAACGAGACUGUCUUUUUUUCUAAAUUAUUCUGUUUAUUAGACUUCAUUUACAAGUCUGUUAUUUUUCUACAUACUCUCCUGCCGAGCAAAUGCAUUUUUCCCACCGAAUUGGUAAUUUUUGAAUCCCGUCAUCAUAAAAUUUCUUUGGACGUUCUUGAAGCCGCUGGCGCACGAAUGUCUUGACUGCCGCGCCGUCGUCAAAUCGCUUUCCUCUAAGCUCUUCUUUUAGUGGCCCAAAAAGAUGGAAAUCGAAAGGAGACAAGUCGAGACUGUUGGGAGAAUAUUCUAAGGUUUCCCAGUCAAAGGCGCCAAAUUUUUGUUUUGUUGCGUUUGCCACGUGAGGUCUUGCUUUAUCAUUAGGAAAAAUUACGCUUUCGUGGCAUCCAACAAUAAUACUGUGCACCAAUGACGGAUUGAUCAUAGAGGAAAUCAGAAUGAGUAACACCUUUCCAAUAAAGAAAUGGUUGCCGUUAGUUUGCCGGCUGGCAAUCUCGCGUUCACUUCCCUCUCGCCGUUGUUCCUUCAUUUCAUACUGGAUUGUUUCGACUUGGGUGUGGAAUAGUGCACCCAAGUUUCGUCACAUAUGACGAUUCAAUUGAAAAAUGCGUCUCCCUCUUCCUGGAAUCGUCCUAGUAACCGCUAAGAAACUUCCAAUCGAUGCCGAUAGCAGAUGUGGUACCCAGCUCGCUUAGACUUUUCGCAAGACCGUCAAGCUUUAUCUGGGCUUGGGAGUAGUAUACUAUUCACAUAACAUGACGGAUAAAUUAGUAUCCCAGUAUUCGACUUUACAUAUCUCCAUUGGUGAAUAGAUGCGACAUCUCACUCGGAUUUCUACAAAAACUAUACUGAAGAUUAGAACAGACGCUACAUAACUCAGAUUUUCAAUCAAAAUAUCAAUCACAAUGAAGACGACCUACAUUACGAGGGUAGUCUGAAAAGUUUCCGAACUAACAAUGAUACAAGAUAUUUUUUUUUUUAAUUUUUAUUUUUCUACAUAGUGUCCUUGUAAGUCUACACACUUCUCCUUGCGAUGCUACCAUCUCCUUACCCCGUCUAAAUAGUAUUUGGCGUCUUUCUCUGCAAAAUAAUUAUUUACGAAGGUGAUGGCCUCCUCAUUUGACGAAAUUCUUUGUCCUCCAAAUGCAAUUUUUAGAUUAGGGAACAAAAAGAAGUCAGUUGAGGCUAGAUCUGGUGAAUAAGGAAGGCGGUCAAGCAGUUCAAACCCUAAUUCGUGGAUUUUCGCAAUGGCAACCACAGAGGUGUGAAACGGCGGAUUGUCUUGGUGAAACAGAAUUUUUUUUUCUUCAAAUGUAGCCGUUUUUCCGAAAUUUCUGCCUUUAACUUGUCGAGUAAUGAUACGUAGUAUGUUCCUGUAAUGAUUUUUCCUGUUUGAAGAUAAUUGAUUAAGAUAACUCCAUGACUAUCCCAAAAAAUAGUCACGAUAACUUUCCUAGCCAAACAAACAGUUUUUGCUUUUUUGGAGCCGACUCCACCUUCGCAAUCGACUGUUUUGACUGUAUUUUUGUUUCGGGUGUAUAAUGGUAUAUCCAAGUUUCAUCUACAGUAAUUUUUAAUUUUCGCCAAAACUCUGAUAUAUUGCGCUUAAACUUCUCCAACAGAGCGUUGGAAAUGUUCAUUCGAACACGUUUUUGGUCUAACGUGAACAGCGCGGCACCUAACGCGCGGUCAGCUUUCUCAUGCCUAAAUCUUCACUCAAUAUUUGGCAAACACGUUCUUUUGAUAUAUUCAUAGCCUCUCUCUCUCUUUUGACAUAUUCAUAGCCUCUGUUAUCUCUUUCACUAUAAUUCGACGAUCGUUUAGCACCAUUUAGCGAUGCUAUCGUUAGUGGUUGCAGUUUUUGGACGUCCCGAACGUAAAUCGUGUCCCAAGUUUGUACGGCUACGUUUGAAUUCAAUUGCCCAAAAUUUCACGGUGAUAAAUGUUGGUGCAGGGUCCCCAUACACAACGUCCUACUCAUCUUUGAUUUGCGUAAGCAUAUUGCCUUUCAAAAACAAAUAUUUAAUAGCAGCUCGAUACUAGAUUUUUUCUAUUUUCACAAAAACACUCGCAUUGACUCACUCAGACGAUUGUCAAACAACAACUCCGCUUCCAAAAUGGCUGAAAUUUUUGGUGAGUUUCUGUCAAAAGAUGCGCAACCAUGUUCUCUAAGUUUUAUUGUCGAGUGCUGCCACCUUCACGUUGAGGUCGGGAGCUUUUCAGAUCACCCUCCUAUAAUGGAGUUUUUUGAAAACCCGUAUAUGAAAUUGAUUUCCAAAUAAAGCGCUAAAAAUGUUCGAGUAUCCUAUCGAGACAACACAUUGAUUCGAUGUACGAGGGCUCAAAAAUGCGGCAUCUAUACCAACGCGACAUUCCACCCGGACUUAGUCUAUAGGAGUUGAGUCUUAUUACAGGGGAAUUUCUAGUUGCUCGAAACAUUUCAUUUACCAUUAGGAAUAGGAAUAGGAACUGCUUCCUUUUAUCAUCUAAUUUACGUUGUGAAUUUUCCCACAGAAUCAUAAAGUUACCUACGAAAUGAAUUGGAAGGGAUUUGAUAUAUCCGACCUGUACCCAAUGCAAAGCAUUCUCUAGUUCAAUCCUUUUUCGCUCCCAGUGUGUUUUACUGAGGUGCAAAAGUCAUACAAUCCUGCACUAAUCUAGCAGAUAGCUGAUGGCUGAAUAUAACAAAUUACUCGUAUCUAUAUGCUCCUCGUUUUCAACCCACUAAAGCUCUUCACGAUUAUUCCCUCGAUUAUAUGUUUAAUGUCCGAUUUCUGGAAAGAAGCGCCUUCAAAGAGCUAGUAGGUCUCCAACUCAUGAUGCUUUCACGUGUGUUCUAUAUAUGCUCAACUAAUUUGAAAAAUACAACGUGUAACUGAACUUUUCACAGGUAACCCUCAUCCUUUGGGUAAAAAUGUUGUUCAUUAUUAUUGUCAUUGGUCGGUCCGUUUGCGUGUUUUUAUGCAAUAGACCGCUCUAUACUCACAUCUGCUCUCUCUCGUAUUUAAUUCGGUCUGCUCUAAACUGAAACUCUAAAAUGAAAACCUAAAAGAACCAAUUUGAAAUAUAAUAGUACAACUGUUAAACAACGAUAUACCUUAAACAAAUAACCAUAAAACCUAGCAAAAUGCAUAUUUUAACCCUAGCACACACUGUUCCAAUCGAAUCUCUCCUUCCCACUUGAUUUCACAAUCAUAAAACUCCGACAAAUGAACAACAUUUCGACUACCACUCAUUCACUUCUCAGCAUACAAUAAAUUUAACAUUGAUGUAAUAUUGUAAAUAUAUUUUUCUAAUAAACAAAGUGAAUCUUUCAAAUAUUACAUGAAAAGGAUAUAUAUGAUUGUAUUUAACACAAUAUAUGAACUCGAACUUGGUCGUCUCUAACAAACUCAAAUGCAGAAUGCAACUUCUACUGAUCAUGCACAAACUGCAUAUUUUCAGAUACACAGAAACCACAUAAAAUAGGUAAAAGAUAUAACGCAUUAUAUAUUAUCCUUGGAACCUAAAGUUUUAGAAAUUAUAAAGGUGAAUGGAAACUUAAAUCUAAGAAUAAACACUUUCAAUUUCAUGUUUAAUUCAAAACGAGAGGAAAACUGAAAGAAACAACAUGAAACUAAAAACAUGUAUAGUUUUAAAGAUUGUAUAACGAGGUGAUAUUAGUUUAUUUUAAAAGAAUAAGAAAAUGGAGAUAAGACAUACCGUGAAGCGCUCUAUCCCUGUACAGCAAUUCAAAAUCUCUAGAAGAUUAAUCUAAGAAAUAUAUAAAUAUAAUAAUGAAUCGAAUUGAAUCCAUGAAGUGAUUUUAUAAGAAAAAGAUACUAAACAUUCUGUUCCAUUUGUUUUUCAUUUCGGUUUAAUUGUUGUGUGUUUGUUCUGAACAAUCGUGAUACCUUGAAACCUAAAAGGCAAUGAGUAGUUACAUUCGAUUGCUCUGCGAAAGGACGCUCAAAGAAACGCGCGUCAGAUUUAGGUGAAGAUAUCUUAAAUAUGCAUGCAACCGUUGUGUAGAAGCACAAGUCGAAGCUUUGAACAAGGAAGCCUAAUAAGGACCGAAGCAUCUUCAAUAAACUAUCUCGAUCCUUAGUGUCAACAGAGUGCUCAAUUUGAAAUUUUUCACUUGUAAAAUCUGUCCUCCAUUCUGACUGGAUGUUUCACAAUCAUCAUCAAAUCUUAAUAUUACUGAACCCUCAAGUAAACAAAUUCACAGAAAAAGAUACAUUUCAAAGAUUCUAUCCUGAACUUCUCGUUUUUAAUCGCUAACCAACUAACAGAGUUGAUUUCAGCCACAAUUCACACGAUUACUUCCUACGGUGUCUAACUUGUAAAUAUGAUAAAUUUAUUUUCAAAUAAAAAACGAGAAAUUUACUAAAGAAAGUAUCUUGUUAAUGAAAGAAUGUAUCUACGAUCGCAGCAACAAAAGAAUAUGUAAAUGUAUAUUCCCUUUUUUACAAACAAAACCGAUUGCAACAUAAAGUAUCUCCAACAGUUCUUACUACUGACAAAUUAUGCAUUGUGUGUGUAUAAAUUGUACUAGACACAUUUUUUAAAUUAUCAAAUUGAAGAGAAAAAAUGUUAAUUUCAUCAAUUUUUCAGUGGUAAAAUGAAAAAACAUAGAAUUGUUCAAUUAAAAUUUAUAUUUAAGGGACAAGCAAGACCCCUUCUAGUUAUUAGUUUCCAUUAGUUAGUCGUAUCUAAUUUUAUAAAACCGAAACAUAAAAAUAAUGCAAAAAAAAAAAACAAAAAACAAUUUAAAUAGCUAUGAGAAAAAGAAAAGAAACGAAAUAUAAUUAAAGAAUCUGUAAAAUUUUACUUCGGCUGUUGUCACUGUUAUGAAAUCGAAAAAAAAAGUGGUUGCGACUAUUCUUUAUGAAAGAAUGUCCUCAUUGCCAUGUUUUCUUUGAUUUCAAAUCGAUUUGUAAAAAGAUUUGUGUACUUUUUUUCCUUUAAAUAUAAACCGAGUUUUUACAUUUUUAUUAUCAAUUGUAAAUAAAAGAAAAAAUCGCUUCUAUUAUAGGUGACUACGUUAAGUAAGAAAUCCUUAAUUUUCCCUUAUGGUUUCAAUGUGCAUACUAUCCCUUGUCCUCUGUUCUGUUUUUCGUCUCCGCUGAAUCAAUUUCCGCUUUCAAAUCUCUCGUCUGAUAAUCAAUACGAAAUAAUACUGAAUACAACAAAAUAUUUUUAUAUGAAUUCCACUAGUUUUUGUAUACGUUUAAUGUUCAGGAUGGGUUGAAAAGGACCCUACUAUGUAAGAUGCGUAUCAGUGAGAAGCGUAAAUUGUUGUUCUGUUUUUCAAAUUGUGCUGAUAGAAAAGGCUUAUGUGCUUCGUGUAUAAGAACUGAUUAAAAUAGACACAAAACGAUGUACGUCUAGCUAUCGAAUGGCGAAUUUGUUGAGAAAGAAGGAAAAAAACCGAAGAGAUCCGGACAAGAUGAAAUUUAAUUGAAUGGUUUUUUUUUGUAAUUACUUUUUAUAUCAUACUUACUUUCGAUUAUAUCUAUGUAUAAUUAAUUUGUUCGUUUUGGUUAUUGAUUAAAAAGUCAAAUUGUAAACAAUAAA
This 17026-nucleotide unclassified non-coding RNA is filed under the name Hermetia illucens (black soldier fly). Its description in RNAcentral is "uncharacterized LOC119652536, transcript variant X1". The record is from RNAcentral. Lineage: Eukaryota; Metazoa; Arthropoda; Insecta; Diptera; Stratiomyidae.